UGGGGAAUUUUGGACAAUGGGUGAGAGCCUGAUCCAGCCAUGCCGCGUGCAGGAAGAAGGCGUUAUGCGUUGUAAACUGCUUUUUGCCAGGGGGUAAAAAGACCGUGCGCGGUUAAUUGAAGGUACCUGGUGAAUAAGCCACGGCUAACUACGUGCCAGCAGCCGCGGUAAUACGUAGGUGGCAAGCGUUGUCCGGAUUUAUUGGGUUUAAAGGGUGCGUAGGUGGCCCUGUAAGUCAGUGGUGAAAUAUCUCAGCUUAACUGAGAGGGUGCCAUUGAUACUGCAGGGCUUGAGUACAGAUGAGGUAGGCGGAAUUGACGGUGUAGCGGUGAAAUGCAUAGAUAUCGUCAAGAACACCGAUAGCGAAGGCAGCUUACCAAGCUGUAACUGACACUGAGGCACGAAAGUGUGGGGAUCAAACAGGAUUAGAUACCCCCGUAGUCCCUGAGCGGGCUGGCAAGGCGCAU
This 467-nucleotide ribosomal RNA is filed under the name uncultured bacterium. Its description in RNAcentral is "bacterial SSU rRNA". It matches the Rfam family "Bacterial small subunit ribosomal RNA", at positions 355 to 825 of the family's 1533-position model. The record is from RNAcentral.